RNAcentral lists this ribosomal RNA (253 nucleotides) under uncultured bacterium. RNAcentral's name for it is "partial 16S ribosomal RNA". It matches the Rfam family "Bacterial small subunit ribosomal RNA", at positions 524 to 776 of the family's 1533-position model. The record is from RNAcentral.
UACGGAGGAUGCAAGCGUUAUCCGGAUUUAUUGGGUUUAAAGGGUGCGUAGGCUGUGUGUCAAGUCAGAGGUGAAAGCCCGGGGCUCAACCCCGGAACUGCCUUUGAUACUGGCAUGCUUGAAUUCGGAUGCCGUGGGAGGAAUGAGUAGUGUAGCGGUGAAAUGCAUAGAUAUUACUCAGAACACCGAUUGCGAAGGCAUCUCACGAAUCCGACAUUGACGCUGAGGCACGAAAGCGUGGGGAUCAAACAGG